Molecule: long non-coding RNA, 252 nt
Filed under: Elaeis guineensis (African oil palm)
Lineage: Eukaryota; Viridiplantae; Streptophyta; Magnoliopsida; Arecales; Arecaceae
Description: long non-coding RNA (EGUI_LNC010985)
Source: RNAcentral
UAUAAUAUAAAGAAGAGACUUUUGGUUGCAGCAAUAGGGGGUGGGGCGAAUCCACGCCCUUUCCUUUUGGCUUCUGAAGAGAAUGAAUGCUGUUUGUCCCACUCAAUCGAUUGGAAGGCCAUGAUUAGAAGAAAACAAGGAGGAAAGGGACUAAAAGAUGCUCUCAAGAGAGCAUGGCUAUGAAUCGUUUGGUGGUCUGAAUGAGAUUGCAACAUCUCAUGAUGUGAGCGUGCAAAGGAUGGAAGAGAGGGG